GAAAUUUUAUUUUUUACUUUUUACAUGUCAAUGCUUGAUUAAAUUUUAAGACUUGUAAUUUCAGAGUGCAUGUAUCAAUUGUGAGUACAUCGUUUCUGAAGUUCAGUUUCAUACUGGUUACAUAUUUUUCAGUGAUCAAAUCUUUGAUCAUAGAGAAAUUUUCACAACUAACACAUCAUAUAAAUCCCUACAUGGCUACCACUAACAACUACCACAAACACGAAUGACAAAUAAUACAAAUACGACACAAAGACAAUAGACACGACAUAUUGGCACCAAAUGUCCACACAAAA
RNAcentral lists this long non-coding RNA (293 nucleotides) under Malus domestica (apple). RNAcentral describes it as "long non-coding RNA (MDOM_LNC005345)". Lineage: Eukaryota; Viridiplantae; Streptophyta; Magnoliopsida; Rosales; Rosaceae. The record is from RNAcentral.